ACGCUCGACACCUCGGGAGCAGCAGUGGGGAAUAUUGCACAAUGGGGGAAACCCUGAUGCAGCGACGCCGCGUGAAGGAAGAAGUAUUUCGGUAUGUAAACUUCUAUCAGCAGGGAAGAAAAUGACGGUACCUGAGUAAGAAGCACCGGCUAAAUACGUGCCAGCAGCCGACGGUAAUCUGAGCGGGCUGGCAAGGC
This 197-nucleotide ribosomal RNA is filed under the name uncultured bacterium. RNAcentral describes it as "partial 16S ribosomal RNA". It matches the Rfam family "Bacterial small subunit ribosomal RNA", at positions 326 to 539 of the family's 1533-position model. The record is from RNAcentral.